This 32-nucleotide non-coding RNA is filed under the name Mus musculus (house mouse). Lineage: Eukaryota; Metazoa; Chordata; Mammalia; Rodentia; Muridae. The record is from RNAcentral.
UGUACCUCCACCUCCUCUGGCUAUAGCCAGCU